UUCCUACGGGGGGCAGCAGUGAGGAAUAUUGGUCAAUGGGAGAGAUCCUGAACCAGCCAAGCCGCGUGAGGGAAGACGGCCCUAUGGGUUGUAAACCUCUUUUGUCGGAGAACAAAACCCGGGACGUGUCCCGGACUGCGUGUAUCCGAAGAAUAAGCUCCGGCUAACUACGUGCCAGCAGCCGCGGUAAUACGUAGGGAGCAAGCGUUAUCCGGAAUUAUUGGGUGUAAAGGGUGCGUAGACGGGACAGCAAGUUAGUUGUGAAAGCCCUCGGCUUAACUGAGGAACUGCAACUAAAACUAUUG
This 305-nucleotide ribosomal RNA is filed under the name uncultured bacterium. RNAcentral's name for it is "bacterial SSU rRNA". It matches the Rfam family "Bacterial small subunit ribosomal RNA", at positions 336 to 638 of the family's 1533-position model. The record is from RNAcentral.